This 472-nucleotide ribosomal RNA is filed under the name Gemella morbillorum. Its description in RNAcentral is "bacterial SSU rRNA". It matches the Rfam family "Bacterial small subunit ribosomal RNA", at positions 28 to 496 of the family's 1533-position model. Lineage: Bacteria; Bacillati; Bacillota; Bacilli; Caryophanales; Gemellaceae. The record is from RNAcentral.
GACGAACGCUGGCGGCGUGCCUAAUACAUGCAAGUCGAGCGAAGUUUUUCUGGUGCUUGCACUAGAAAAACUUAGCGGCGAACGGGUGAGUAACACGUAAAGAACCUGCCUCAUAGACUGGGACAACUAUUGGAAACGAUAGCUAAUACCGGAUAACAGUAUUUCUCGCAUGAGAGAUAUUUAAAAGUUGGUUAUGCUAACACUAUGAGAUGGCUUUGCGGUGCAUUAGCUAGUUGGUGGGGUAAAGGCCCACCAAGGCGACGAUGCAUAGCCGACCUGAGAGGGUGAUCGGCCACACUGGGACUGAGACACGGCCCAGACUCCUACGGGAGGCAGCAGUAGGGAAUCUUCCGCAAUGGGCGAAAGCCUGACGGAGCAACGCCGCGUGAGUGAAGAAGGAUUUCGGUUCGUAAAGCUCUGUUGUUAGGGAAGAAUGGAUAUGUAGUAACUAUACAUGAAAGAGACGGACCUA